Molecule: ribosomal RNA, 496 nt
Filed under: uncultured bacterium
Lineage: Bacteria
Description: partial 16S ribosomal RNA
Rfam family: Bacterial small subunit ribosomal RNA
Source: RNAcentral
AUGAACGCUGGCGGCGUGCCUAAUACAUGCAAGUCGAGCGAACGGACGAGAAGCUUGCUUCUCUGAUGUUAGCGGCGGACGGGUGAGUAACACGUGGAUAACCUACCUAUAAGACUGGGAUAACUUCGGGAAACCGUAGCUAAUACCGGAUAAUAUUUUGAACCGCAUGGUUCAAAAGUGAAAGACGGUCUUGCUGUCACUUAUAGAUGGAUCCGCGCUGCAUUAGCUAGUUGGUAAGGUAACGGCUUACCAAGGCAACGAUGCAUAGCCGACCUGAGAGGGUGAUCGGCCACACUGGAACUGAGACACGGUCCAGACUCCUACGGGAGGCAGCAGUAGGGAAUCUUCCGCAAUGGGCGAAAGCCUGACGGAGCAACGCCGCGUGAGUGAUGAAGGUCUUCGGAUCGUAAAACUCUGUUAUUAGGGAAGAACAUAUGUGUAAGUAACUGUGCACAUCUUGACGGUACCUAAUCAGAAAGACACGGCUAACUACGUG